AACGAACGCUGGCGGCAGGCUUAACACAUGCAAGUCGAACGAUGUAGCAAUACAUAGUGGCGCACGGGUGAGUAACGCGUGGGAAUAUACCUUAUAGUGGGGAAUAACUUUGGGAAACUAAAGCUAAUACCGCAUACGCCCGAGAGGGGAAAGAUUUAUCGCUAUAAGAUUAGCCCGCGUGAGAUUAGGUAGGUGGUGGGGUAAUGGCCUACCAAGACUACGAUCUCUAGCUGGUCUGAGAGGAUGAUCAGCCACACUGGAACUGAGAAACGGUCCAGACUCCUACGGGAGGCAGCAAGGGGGAAUCUUGGGCAAUGGAGUAAACUCUGACCCAGCCAUGCCGCGUGAAUGAUGAAGGCCUUAGUGUUGUAAAGUUCUUUCGCCGAUGAGGAUAAUGACGGUAGUCGGAGAAGAAGCCCCGGCUAACUUCGUGCCAGCAGCCGCCGUAA
RNAcentral lists this ribosomal RNA (449 nucleotides) under uncultured bacterium. RNAcentral describes it as "partial 16S ribosomal RNA". It matches the Rfam family "Bacterial small subunit ribosomal RNA", at positions 29 to 523 of the family's 1533-position model. The record is from RNAcentral.